UACAGAGGGUGCAAGCGUUGUUCGGAAUUAUUGGGCGUAAAGGGCGCGUAGGCGGUGCGGUAAGUCUGCAGUGAAAUCUCUGGGCUCAACUCAGAGUCUGCUGUAGAAACUGCCGUGCUUGAGUGUGGGAGAGGUGAGUGGAAUUCCCGGUGUAGCGGUGAAAUGCGUAGAUAUCAGGAAGAACACCCGUGGCGAAGGCGGCUCUCUGGGACGGUACUGACGCUGAGACGCGAAAGCGUGGGGAGCGAACAGG
Molecule: ribosomal RNA, 253 nt
Filed under: uncultured bacterium
Lineage: Bacteria
Description: partial 16S ribosomal RNA
Rfam family: Bacterial small subunit ribosomal RNA
Source: RNAcentral